Molecule: ribosomal RNA, 492 nt
Filed under: uncultured bacterium
Lineage: Bacteria
Description: partial 16S ribosomal RNA
Rfam family: Bacterial small subunit ribosomal RNA
Source: RNAcentral
AGUGAACGCUGGCGGUAGGCCUAACAUAUGCAAGUCGAACGGCAGCACAGUAAGAGCUUGCUCUUACGGGUGGCGAGUGGCGGACGGGUGAGGAAUACAUCGGAAUCUACUUUUUCGUGGGGGAUAACGUAGGGAAACUUACGCUAAUACCGCAUACGACCUACGGGUGAAAGCGGGGGAUCUUCGGACCUUGCGCGAUUGAAUGAGCCGAUGUCGGAUUAGCUAGUUGGCGGGGUAAAGGCCCACCAAGGCGACGAUCCGUAGCUGGUCUGAGAGGAUGAUCAGCCACACUGGAACUGAGACACGGUCCAGACUCCUACGGGAGGCAGCAGUGGGGAAUAUUGGACAAUGGGCGCAAGCCUGAUCCAGCCAUACCGCGUGGGUGAAGAAGGCCUUCGGGUUGUAAAGCCCUUUUGUUGGGAAAGAAAAGCAGCAGGUUAAUACCCCGCUGUUCUGACGGUACCCAAAGAAUAAGCACCGGCUAACUUCGUG